UGGUUCCAGCCCACUCUCAAAUCAAGGGAGAAGAUGCAGGCUACAAAUCUGAGAACAAAGAUUUAAACUGGCCUAGACUUUAGAAUCUGAAAGUGAGGGGUUUGAUCAGGGUUUUUGUUUGUUUUCAAAGGAACACAAAAGAAGGAGGUACCAGACUAUGAUCAAAGAAUAGACCAAACUCAAGCAUCAGAAUAUGAACUCCACAGGAAGUUGUUAUCUUCAUUGAUUGUGUUGCUGUUACAUUUCAAGAGCUAGCAAACGUUCUCACAACAAAAAAACCUUCACUGUGUUCAUCGGGGAGUAAAGAUGCUGCAUAUCUCAAAACUGCAACUGAACUGGCUUUUAAUAUUGAAAUGGAUUUAUUGGCUCAAGUGACUGAAGAACCCAAGGUUAUUUGACUUCAGCUGACUUGAUCCAGGGCUUAACUGAUGUCACAAGGAACUCGUUUCUCUCUCUCCCUCUCUUCCACUUACUCCAUUUGAGUAUUCUUUUUAGGUCUCAAGCAGUCACAAAAUGAGCUGUGUAGCUCUUGUUGCUAUUGUUCUUUUAGGUUGAAAUUUAAUGAACAGAGAGUGAAGUUCUCCUUUCUAGAACCUCCAGAAAAAGUCUCAUUUAAUUUCAUUGGUUAAAGAAGCACAUAAGUAAUCUGCCUACCCCUAUCAAAUCAGUAUAUGAAAUGCUUUGAUCGUUUAUGCCCGAGUAACCAAGGAUAAGGUCAACUCCCUUGGGAACACAUGAGAUAAGAAUGGGGAUAGACUUGACCCUAGAAGAGAAACCUACUAAAGAACAAAAAAGAGAAGACUGAAUGGUAUUUGACACAAACAGAAGUUAUUUGUAGCUUCCAUAUUUUUAUUGUUUCUCUCAUACAUACAAAUGUACAUGCACACACAUUCUUAUGUACGUAUCUGUAGAAACACACACACACACACACGUCCCAUAAAUAUGCCAAAACUGUUCACAUCUCUAAAAAGCAUUUGCUGACUCCUUAACCAAGACAAAAGUCUUACUCCAUUCCUGUGUACAACUCCAAAUGCCAGAGAUUUCAACAUCAUGCCACGUAGUGUCUGCAGGCAUCCCAUCCCAUCCAACAUACAUGGUAGAAAGAUAAUAAUUAAAUAUGAUAAAAUCAACUCCAUAUGAAAUAGGGGAGCAUAGGAAAUGACACAGUAGUCAUCAGGGCACAGCACAUAUUUUGUCAUGCUGGACAGAUAGUAAAUGAUUUAGGCUUUUCUGGCCACAUAAAGUCUCUAUUGCUUAUUCUCCUUAGUUUUACUUUACAUUUGAAAAAUAUAAAUGCCACCAUAAGCUGUGGGCAGUACACCUACAGACUUAUGUGGAUACAAUUAUUAGGCUCAUCUCUUUAUCCCAAGGUUGCAAAAGUUUCAUUGUAUUUAAGUACCUCUGAUUGGGUCCUCUUUCUAUCCCUAUUCAAAUCACUUUGGCCAUAGGAAUGGGAUGUUCUUCCUUAUUAGGUCUAAGUAACUUUCCUGGAAAAAGGGAAAGAACAUCGUCCUUACCACAUAUGGACUGAAGGUGGAAAGGGAAAGUUAUGCCUAAAUGGAAAAAUGGAGUAUUGUUAUCAGAAUAACAAUAAGAAUAAUAACAAACAUUUAUAUAUUGCUUGUUAUGGGUCAGGCACUUGUAAAAGCUCUUCAUAAGCUUUGACAUAUUUAAUUCUCACACUAAAUUUAAGAAAUAUUACUAUUACUUUAAUCAUUUUACAGCUGAGAAAACUGAAGGUAAAGAGGUUAAGUAAAUGGCCUAAGGCCUCACAGCUGGAUAAUGCCAGAGUUAUAAUGAACCCAGGGUGGCUGGUCGUAAAGUCUAUCCUUUUAUCUAGGGUACUUGCCCAUCCAGAAAUCCAGAAAUCACAAUAUACCUAAAAGGACUUUAAAACACAAGACUUGAUGAAAUUACAAAAUGAUAUAUUGAGGAUGAUUAACCCUAUAUUUUAUUUUAAAAGGGAUACAAUCCACAUUAAUAUCAAAUUUAAUAAGAAUAGGCCCAGUUCCAAUAUAAGUCUGUAGUUACCACAUUAACACAAUAUAACAAAAGGAAUAUUUCUAUAUGAUCGCAAUUUGUUUAUUCAUUAUUAAGUUGUUGACAGAAUUUGGAUUGUUUCCAAACACCAUCUGUGUUUCUGAUCUCUUGGAUAAACACCUAAGAGUAGAAAGGCUGGAUCAUAUAGUAGAUGGAUAUUUAACUUUUUAAGGAAACUGCCAAACUGUUUUUCAAGGUGGUUGUACCACUUUUACAUUCUUACUAGUAUUGAAUGAGAGUUCCAGUUCUUUCACAUCCUCAUCCAAAGUUAGUAUGGUCAGUCUUUCUUAUUUUAUUCCUAAUGGUAUAUCAUUAUGGUUUUAAUUUAAUUUACUUAAUGAAAUGAUUAAUUAUA
Molecule: long non-coding RNA, 2395 nt
Organism: Canis lupus familiaris (dog)
Lineage: Eukaryota; Metazoa; Chordata; Mammalia; Carnivora; Canidae
Exons: 3
Source: RefSeq, a predicted model, not a curated record